Molecule: ribosomal RNA, 254 nt
Filed under: uncultured bacterium
Lineage: Bacteria
Description: partial 16S ribosomal RNA
Rfam family: Bacterial small subunit ribosomal RNA
Source: RNAcentral
UACGUAGGGUCCGAGCGUUGUCCGGAAUUAUUGGGCGUAAAAGGCUCGUAGGCGGUUUGUCGCGUCGGGGAGUGAAAACUCAGGGCUCAACCCUGAGCGUGCUUCCGAUACGGGCAGACUAGAGGUAUGCAGGGGAGAACGGAAUUCCUGGUGUAGCGGUGGAAUGCGCAGAUAUCAGGAGGAACACCGGUGGCGAAGGCGGUUCUCUGGGCAUUACCUGACGCUGAGGAGCGAAAGCAUGGGGAGCGAACAGG